RNAcentral lists this ribosomal RNA (821 nucleotides) under Centrocestus formosanus. RNAcentral's name for it is "partial large subunit ribosomal RNA". It matches the Rfam family "Eukaryotic large subunit ribosomal RNA", at positions 128 to 611 of the family's 3401-position model. The record is from RNAcentral. Lineage: Eukaryota; Metazoa; Platyhelminthes; Trematoda; Opisthorchiida; Heterophyidae.
UUUGGUUACUAGGCAAUGUGGUGUUUAGGUCAUUCCGCGUUUGGCGCUGCUCCAUUCCAAGUCCAGCAAUGAAUACGGUAAUGCUGACAUAGCCCAAAGCGGGUGAAAGGCCCGUGGGAGUGGAGAUGCAGAAAUGACAGUGCCUUCCUGGAUAGACCUUGGAGUCGGGUUGUUUGUGAAUGCAGCCCAAAGUGGGUGGUAAACUCCAUCCAAGGCUAAAUACUAACACGAGUCCGAUAGCGAACAAGUACCGUGAGGGAAAGUUGAAAAGUACUUUGAAGAGAGAGUAAACAGUGCGUGAAACCGCUCAGAGGUAAACGGGUGGAGUUGAACUGUGAACUCUGUGGAUUUAGCUGGUGAGCAUGGUUUGAGCUUGGUCAAAUUGGCUGAAGUGCGGAGUCUGCGGAUUAGCAGGUCCUCGCCUUUUGGUGGGGAUGCGUGAGGCACUCAUCAGGUGUUGCGCGCUCCGUACUGAAUCGGGCCAGCUUGCCAGUGCACUUUCACAGAGUGGUCACCACGACCGGCAUUGCUGUCGGACUGUUGUGGUUAAACCGGUCUUGCAUUGUCCUUGUGACUUUGUUUGGUCGGGAUGGCAGGUAGCUCGUUGGCUUGCUUGUGGUUCGCUGCAGGCAUUUGGUCUUCGGGUGUAAUCAGCUGACCACAUCAGUACUGUGCAGUAUGUCGGAGACGGCGGCUUGUGGUGUGCGCGUUCGUGCCAGUUGGCUGGCGUGUCCGGGUUUGGUUAUUAUGUUGCCUGUGUGUGCAGGCCUGAUGAUAGCCCGGAUUCGUUCGCGUCGACGGUUGCGUUCGGUCCACUGAUA